GGAAGCGUGGCCGAGCGGUUUAAGGCACCGGUCUUGAAAACCGGCGAGGAUGCGAGUCCUCCGUGAGUUCGAAUCUCACCGCUUCCGCCA
This 90-nucleotide transfer RNA is filed under the name Thiobacillus sp. RNAcentral's name for it is "tRNA-Ser". It matches the Rfam family "tRNA". Rfam says of the family: Transfer RNA (tRNA) molecules are approximately 80 nucleotides in length. Their secondary structure includes four short double-helical elements and three loops (D, anti-codon, and T loops). The record is from RNAcentral. RNAcentral also lists the same sequence under 3 other names. Lineage: Bacteria; Pseudomonadati; Pseudomonadota; Betaproteobacteria; Nitrosomonadales; Thiobacillaceae.